Molecule: ribosomal RNA, 58 nt
Filed under: Pocillopora sp. Type 1
Lineage: Eukaryota; Metazoa; Cnidaria; Anthozoa; Scleractinia; Pocilloporidae
Description: partial 5.8S ribosomal RNA
Rfam family: 5.8S ribosomal RNA
About the family: 5.8S ribosomal RNA (5.8S rRNA) is a component of the large subunit of the eukaryotic ribosome. It is transcribed by RNA polymerase I as part of the 45S precursor that also contains 18S and 28S rRNA.
Source: RNAcentral
UCUUUGAACGCAAAUGGCGCUCUUGGGUUCUCCCAGGAGCAUGUCUGUCUGAGUGUCU